UAUCUCUGUAGAGUCUGCAUAUCAAUAAGCGGAGGAAAAGAAACUAACAAGGAUUCCCCUAGUAACGGUGAGUGAAGCGGGAAGAGCUCAAAUUUGAAAUCUUCAAGGUUUGACCUUGACGAAUUGUAGUUUAAAGAAGUGUUUUCGGUUAGAGGAGUAGUAAAAGUUCUUUGGAAUAGGACAUCAUAGAGGGUGAGAAUCCCGUAUUUGACUAUUCUUUCUAGCUUUGUGAUACACUUUCAAAGAGUCGGAUUGUUUGGGAAUGCAGUCCAAAAUGGGUGGUAAAUUUCAUCUAAAGCUAAAUAUUGGCGAGAGACCGAUAGCGAACAAGUACCGUGAGGGAAAGAUGAAAAGAACUUUGAAAAGAGAGUUAAACAGUACGUGAAAUUGUCAAAAGGGAAGCGUUUGACACCAGUGUUGUUUUUCCGAAAAUCAAUUAAAAAUUGAUUCAUGCCAGGUUGUAUUGACCUUAUCAGCUUGCAAUUUGGUUUUGGGUCUCUUUUUGAUGCACUUUUCGGUUAACAAGUCAACAUCAAUUUCCUUUGCUGUAAAAAGGUAAGAGGAAGGUGGCUUCAAUUUCGGUUGAAGUAGUUUAUAGCCUUUUAUCUCUGCAGUCGGGGAGAUUGAGGUCUGCAGCGUAGAUCCUUCGGGGCUAGAUACAUUUAUGCUAAGUUAUAGCUUUUCAUAGACAACUUGUUGACUAUGUUUAGUCAUGUAGCUUACUCGUAAGUGCUAUUUUACCUACGCUUAGGAUGUUGAAGACUCUACAGAGAUA
This 775-nucleotide ribosomal RNA is filed under the name uncultured Neocallimastigales. Its description in RNAcentral is "partial large subunit ribosomal RNA". It matches the Rfam family "Eukaryotic large subunit ribosomal RNA", at positions 24 to 642 of the family's 3401-position model. The record is from RNAcentral. Lineage: Eukaryota; Fungi; Neocallimastigomycota; Neocallimastigomycetes; Neocallimastigales.